UACGUAGGGGGCAAGCGUUGUCCGGAAUCAUUGGGCGUAAAGCGCGUGUAGGCGGCUCGGUAAGUCCGCUCUGAAAGUCCAGGGCUCAACCCUGGGAUGCGGGUGGAUACUGCCGGGCUCGAGUCCGGAAGAGGCGAGUGGAAUUCCCGGUGUAGCGGUGAAUGCGCAGAUAUCGGGAGGAACACCAAUGGCGAAGGCAGCUCGCUGGGACGUGACUGACGCUGACGACGCGAAAGCGUGGGGAGCAAACAGGG
RNAcentral lists this ribosomal RNA (254 nucleotides) under uncultured bacterium. Its description in RNAcentral is "partial 16S ribosomal RNA". It matches the Rfam family "Bacterial small subunit ribosomal RNA", at positions 524 to 777 of the family's 1533-position model. The record is from RNAcentral.